This 301-nucleotide unclassified non-coding RNA is filed under the name Corticium sp. (in: basidiomycete fungi). RNAcentral's name for it is "Corticium sp. (in: Fungi) partial contains 5.8S ribosomal RNA, internal transcribed spacer 2, and large subunit ribosomal RNA". Lineage: Eukaryota; Fungi; Basidiomycota; Agaricomycetes; Corticiales; Corticiaceae. The record is from RNAcentral.
CGCACCUUGCGCUCCUUGGUAUUCCGAGGAGCAUGCUUGUUUGAGUGUCAUGGUAUUCUCAACCCUCUGUUGUUUUUUUAAAACAGCAGCUGGGCUUGGACUUGGAGGUUUGCAGGCAUCGGUAUUUUUUGAAUACCAGAGUCAGCUCCUCUGAAAUGCAUUAGCUUGAGUGUAUCAAGUUUGAUUCAAUGUGAUAAUUAUCUACGUUGCUUCAACUUGUUGUUCUAGCUUCUAAUCGUCCUUAGGGACACACUUUUGACAAUCUGACCUCAAAUCAAGUAGGACUACCCGCUGAACUUAA